RNAcentral lists this ribosomal RNA (194 nucleotides) under uncultured bacterium. RNAcentral's name for it is "partial 16S ribosomal RNA". It matches the Rfam family "Bacterial small subunit ribosomal RNA", at positions 338 to 524 of the family's 1533-position model. The record is from RNAcentral.
CCUACGGGAGGCAGCAGUGGGGAAUAUUGGACAAUGGGCGCAAGCCUGAUGCAGCCAUGCCGCGUGUAUGAAGAAGGCCUUCGGGUUGUAAAGUACUUUCAGCGGGGAGGAAGGGAGUAAAGUUAAUACCUUUGCUCAUUGACGUUACCCGCAGAAGAAGCACCGGCUAACUCCGUGCCAGCAGCCGCGGUAAU